GACGAACGCUGGCGGCGUGCUUAACACAUGCAAGUCGAACGGUGAAGGGACCAGCUUGCUGGUUCUGGAUGAGUGGCGAACGGGUGAGUAGCACGUGAGUAACCUGCCCCCUUCUUCUGGAUAACCGCAUGAAAGUGUGGCUAAUACGGGAUAUUCUGGGUCUGUCGCAUGGCGGGCCCGGGAAAGAUAUUGCUUCGGUGGGGGAUGGGCUCGCGGCCUAUCAGCUUGUUGGUGGGGUGAUGGCCUACCAAGGCGGUGACGGGUAGCCGGCCUGAGAGGGGGGAGGCUCACAGUGGGACAGAGACCAGCCCAAGACCCGUGGGGGGGGGGCGGGGGGGGAAAAUAGAGGAGGGGGCGAAACCGAGAGGCAGCGCCCCCGGGGGGGGGGGGGGCGCUUGGGGUUUAAAACCCUCUGGCGCAGGAAAGGCGGGCGUGUUCUUUGGGGGUGGUUGGCGGGUGGUUGAAAAAAAAGCCCCGGCAAAUUACGU
Molecule: ribosomal RNA, 488 nt
Filed under: uncultured bacterium
Lineage: Bacteria
Description: partial 16S ribosomal RNA
Rfam family: Bacterial small subunit ribosomal RNA
Source: RNAcentral